This 490-nucleotide unclassified non-coding RNA is filed under the name Hevea brasiliensis (rubber tree). The record is from RNAcentral. Lineage: Eukaryota; Viridiplantae; Streptophyta; Magnoliopsida; Malpighiales; Euphorbiaceae.
UGCUGUUAACAGCCAAUGCAAGGCUUAUCUGAGUGCAAUCAUAGUUUAUCUUUAUGCUCAUGAUUUGAAGCAAGCCCAGAAAUGCUACAAUGAUUGUUCCCAGAUUGGUGCCUUUGUUAACAGUGACCAAUACCGUUCUGCAAGCAAGUUUCUAUCUGCUUAUCAAGAAGGUGAUGCUGAAGAAAUCAAACGCGUUGCACAGUCUAGCACCAUUUCAAAUCUGGAUCAUAUGAUUAUUAGAAUUGCGAGGAAAUUGCCGACAGGGGAUCUUGAGCAACUCAAACUAGAAGCGGACAAUGGAGAAGAACAGUUAGACGAGGAUGACCUCACUUAACCUCUGGGGUAAUGCUCUGAGAAAUGUAACCAGAAUAAGAAGUAUACAAUAUUGUGUUCGAUAUUAUUUGGGGAGUUGCCAAUCUAUACAAUACUUAAAUUUACAGAUGUUGUGAUACUGGUGUAUCUUGAAAUAUAUGUGGGAGCUUGUAUAGCA